This 464-nucleotide ribosomal RNA is filed under the name Streptococcus mitis. RNAcentral's name for it is "bacterial SSU rRNA". It matches the Rfam family "Bacterial small subunit ribosomal RNA", at positions 28 to 476 of the family's 1533-position model. Lineage: Bacteria; Bacillati; Bacillota; Bacilli; Lactobacillales; Streptococcaceae. The record is from RNAcentral.
GACGAACGCUGGCGGCGUGCCUAAUACAUGCAAGUAGAACGCUGAAGGAGGAGCUUGCUUCUCCGGAUGAGUUGCGAACGGGUGAGUAACGCGUAGGUAACCUGCCUGGUAGCGGGGGAUAACUAUUGGAAACGAUAGCUAAUACCGCAUAAGAGUAGAUGUUGCAUGACAUUUGCUUAAAAGGUGCAAUUGCAUCACUACCAGAUGGACCUGCGUUGUAUUAGCUAGUUGGUGGGGUAACGGCUCACCAAGGCGACGAUACAUAGCCGACCUGAGAGGGUGAUCGGCCACACUGGGACUGAGACACGGCCCAGACUCCUACGGGAGGCAGCAGUAGGGAAUCUUCGGCAAUGGACGGAAGUCUGACCGAGCAACGCCGCGUGAGUGAAGAAGGUUUUCGGAUCGUAAAGCUCUGUUGUAAGAGAAGAACGAGUGUGAGAGUGGAAAGUUCACACUGUGACGGA